GAAAUGCGAUAAGUAAUGUGAAUUGCAGAAUUCAGUGAAUCAUCGAAUCUUUGAACGCACCUUGCGCUCCUUGGUAUUCCGAGGAGCAUGCCUGUUUGAGUGUCAUGGAAUUCUCAACUCUAUUUGCUUUUGUGAAUAGAGCUUGGAUUUGGAGGUUUAUUGCUGGUACUUGUGAUCGGCUCCUCUUGAAUGCAUUAGCUCGAACCUUUGCGGAUCAGCUAUCGGUGUGAUAAUUGUCUACGCCGUUGCAGUGAAGCAUAUCAAUGGGCUCGGCUUCCAAUCGUCCUUUACUGGACAAUGACUUUGACCCUUGACCUCAAAUCAGGUAGGAUUACCCGCUGAACUUCAGC
This 350-nucleotide unclassified non-coding RNA is filed under the name plant metagenome. RNAcentral's name for it is "partial contains 5.8S ribosomal RNA, internal transcribed spacer 2, and large subunit ribosomal RNA". The stretch from base 1 to 105 matches the Rfam family "5.8S ribosomal RNA", at positions 50 to 154 of the family's 154-position model. The record is from RNAcentral.